This 253-nucleotide ribosomal RNA is filed under the name uncultured bacterium. RNAcentral describes it as "partial 16S ribosomal RNA". It matches the Rfam family "Bacterial small subunit ribosomal RNA", at positions 524 to 776 of the family's 1533-position model. The record is from RNAcentral.
UACGUAGGGGGCAAGCGUUGUCCGGAUUUAUUGGGCGUAAAGAGCGUGUAGGCGGCCGUACAGGUCAGCUGUGAAAACUCGAGGCUCAACCUCGAGACGUCGGUUGAAACCGUGCGGCUAGAGUCCGGAAGAGGAGAGUGGAAUUCCCGGUGUAGCGGUGAAAUGCGCAGAUAUCGGGAGGAACACCAGUGGCGAAGGCGACUACCUGGCCUGUUCUUGACGCUGAGGCGCGAAAGCUAGGGGAGCAAACGGG